GAUCCUGGCUCAGGAUGAACGCUGGCGGCGUGCCUAACACAUGCAAGUCGAACGAAGCACUUUGAUUUGAUUCUUCGGAUGAAGAUCAUUGUGACUGAGUGGCGGACGGGUGAGUAACGCGUGGGUAACCUGCCUCAUACAGGGGAAUAACAGUUAGAAAUGACUGCUAAUACCGCAUAAGACCACGGAGUCGCAUGACUCAGUGGGAAAAACUCCGGUGGU
This 222-nucleotide ribosomal RNA is filed under the name uncultured bacterium. Its description in RNAcentral is "partial 16S ribosomal RNA". It matches the Rfam family "Bacterial small subunit ribosomal RNA", at positions 15 to 219 of the family's 1533-position model. The record is from RNAcentral.